GCUUUCAGAGAUUGCUUAGCUGGUAGAGCUUAUGACUCUUAAUCUGCGGGUCAUGGGUUUGAGUCCCACAUUGGGCA
Molecule: non-coding RNA, 77 nt
Organism: Podarcis lilfordi (Lilford's wall lizard)
Lineage: Eukaryota; Metazoa; Chordata; Lepidosauria; Squamata; Lacertidae
Source: the annotation of a GenBank genome assembly